CCAUUUUUUACACUAUUUUUUGUAAUAUUUACCCUCAUUACCCCUUAUUAUCACUUCUUAACCCCUUACUAUCCCUUAUUAUUCCUUAUUAUCACUUAUUAACCAAUCAGCAGCCAACACACAAGCCCCGCCCCCUCACCUCUACAAAACAGCGCGCCAAUUUCAAAUCACUUCAGUUCGGUCAACCAAGGCUUCGGGGUAACACGCUACUCGCGCACAAACGUUCUAUGACGUCACCGUUGUCAUCACAACGAUUUAGUGCGGGAACUAGCGUAGAAUUACAGAAGAACAGCGGUGUAGAUUUAAAAUUCCCGCAUGACUCUUAAAUAUAAAAUUCACGCAUGCUAAACUUAAAUAAAUCUGCAUAUUCGACCUACAAAAUCCCAUCCGUCCGUACAGACGCUGCCAACGCCCUACCACACCCCAUCUCGUAAUACUAAUCCCAGUUAAAUCUACACCGGUUCCCGCACCCCCCAUUUUUUUUUAUUUUUAUUAUUAUUACUACAAACAGGUGUAUGAGCAACACUGCGAAAACCACACCACAAAGGCAUUACAAUUCCUUCAAGCCAGGGAGCACUUCCAACUUCACUCCUCAAGGGAUUUUUUCCAUCUAAAAUCCCCUCCCCCUAUCCCACCUGUGCCAAAACCAGCUUGGAUUCUGGCAGUAUACAUCCGGGAUGUGGCGGGACGAAUAGAGGAAACGAAGGCGCAAAUCACGUCAGUGUUUGGGAGCAUCUUAAAGAUGGAUUCGACAAAAAAGGUAACGUCCUGUAACCUCUGCAGAUUACUGUUUCUGAUGAAAAUAGUGCGGGCAAAUACAAAUACAUAAAAUUAUUUUUAGGGUUUUAGCCAAUGAAAAAAUGCGAACACAGUGAAAAGAAUAACAAUCUAAGAUUAUUACUAUUAUUAUAAUUACAUUCUUUUGUGUACGUUGUUAAGAAGCUAGUUGGAAAGGCCCAUAACACAGCAUCCUGGCGCACUAAAGUUGGCAAUGAGUUUGGCAAAGUAGUAAUGAUGGGUUGGUGUCAUGAUAGUACCAAGUUGGUACCAAGGGUUGGUGUCAUGAUAUGAGCAGUCUCAUAUAGAACCUCCAAAAGUUCUAUGUUGACCGUGAUUGUUGUGGCAUCAGGUUACCACAACAAUUAACUGGUUGGCCAAAUUUAUUGGCAAAGUUGGACAUCUGGCACUUCACGCGGCGGUUUGCGAUGCCCUGCUGCUCAGAGUCUCAUGCACUGUAUGGGACUUUUAUGGGACAGAUAUCGGGCUGCAUAUUCGAGUGGGACACAGUUGACCUCGAGAGGCUUCUUGGUGCAAAGUAAGAAGAACUGAAAGCCAUCGGGGUGUAUCGGGCAGCACAGGAUGACAUUACCAUGCAUGUAACAAAGAAGGAGUUGGAAUCUGCUGAGCUCAUUCAACAGUUAUAACUUAUUCAUCAGACCGUGAGAAAGACACAAUGGGAAUACCAUUUCUAAAUUAUGAUUGUGUGACAUGGCAAAUUUGGGACGAACCAACCAACCAACCAACCAACCAACCAACCAACCACCAAAUCAACAGAAUCGAAGCCAGUUUUAUUACCAGAAACGGAAAGCGGAGGAAGCGUCUGGGAUUUCUGUUAGGAAAUAGCAGCGUUCGUCCAAAUCCAUCGUAUGUGGCAAGUGCAAACAGAGCAGAGAUCCGGCUACACACAGGCAGUACUUCGGAAAUUUGUAUUGCCAGGCUACUGAGAUGACUGUCAGACCUAUGAAAGUUGGAGGGAUGCUCUGAAAGAAAAAAGAAUACAAAAAGAAAAAGGAUAAACUUUGUUAUUAUCAUCUGCAACGAACUUC
RNAcentral lists this long non-coding RNA (1826 nucleotides) under Paramuricea clavata. Lineage: Eukaryota; Metazoa; Cnidaria; Anthozoa; Malacalcyonacea; Plexauridae. The record is from RNAcentral.